ACAUGAGCAGUGCUGGCAUGAAAUUCUACCUAUAUAUACACAAGGUCGGUGGGACAUCCAUGAGAUGGAAAAGAAUGAAGGCCAGGCUUGAUGGGUUCCUGGACAGAUCUAGAGGUUGGCAACCCUGCUCAAGGUAGAGGGCUUGGAACUAGAUAAUCUGUGAGGUCCCUUCCAACCCAAGCCAUUCUAUGAUUCCAUGAUUUUCUGGGCCAAAUACUGGAAUGAAUCAAACCUGAUCAUCCCAGGCUGCAGACCUGAGUGGUGCAGACAAGGAUUCUAAACACCAAAGGGGAUGACAGAAAUAUUAAGGAUAUGUCAGAAAUUUAACAGCUGUCUAGAAAGUAUUUCAUCUGUAGCAAGA
RNAcentral lists this long non-coding RNA (361 nucleotides) under Gallus gallus (chicken). Lineage: Eukaryota; Metazoa; Chordata; Aves; Galliformes; Phasianidae. The record is from RNAcentral.